This 1101-nucleotide ribosomal RNA is filed under the name Giardia muris. RNAcentral's name for it is "Eukaryotic small subunit ribosomal RNA". It matches the Rfam family "Eukaryotic small subunit ribosomal RNA", at positions 426 to 1831 of the family's 1831-position model. The record is from Rfam by way of RNAcentral. Lineage: Eukaryota; Fornicata; Diplomonadida; Hexamitidae.
CAGCAGGCGCGGAACUUGCCCAAUGCGUGAAGGCGUGAGGCAGCAACGGGGGAUCCAUGAAAUGGGAAGACUGGGGGGUAGAUGACCCCAGCACAAGUCGAGGGAAAGGUCUGGUGCCAGCAGCCGCGGUAAUUCCAGCUCGGCAGGCGUCGUACGGCGCUGUUGCAGUUAAAACGUCCGGAGUCGAGACGUCCAGCCGGGAGGAAAGAGGAGCGCUUAAGGCGGGAGUGAGUACGAGAAAGCCCGGGACGGACAUGAAGGUGAAUGGGUAAGGGCAUGUGUAUUGGUGGGGGACGGGUGAAAUAGGAUGAUCCGACCAAGACAGACAAAGGCGUAGGCACUUGCCAAGACCAUAUCAGUCGAACCAGGACGAAGCCCGGGGGCGAGAAGGCGAUUAGACACCACCGUAUUCCCGGGCGUAAACGAUGCCACCGAGAGACUGGCCAGGUCGUCAGGAUCGAAGGGAAACCGAUCAGGGUACGGGCUCUGGGGGGAGUAUGGCCGCAAGGCUGGAACUUGAAGGCAUUGACGGAGGGGUACCACCAGACGUGGAGUCUGCGGCUCAAUUUGACUCAACGCGAACACCUUACCAGGCCCAGACGUACGGAGGAUCGACGGUUGAGAGGACCUUCGUGAUCGUACGAGUGGUGGUGCAUGGCCGUUCACAGCCCGUGGCUUGAGCCGUCUGCUUGACUGCGACAACGAGCGAGACCCUAACCUGGAUGGGACCGCCAAUGGUGAAUUGGAGGAAGGUGGGGCGAUAACAGGUCUGUGAUGCCCUUAGACGCCCUGGGCUGCACGCGUACUACACUGUGGGGAUGAAACCACGUCGAGUUGUGAAGCUUGAUGAGAUCAAACCCCCACGUGGUUGGGAUCGUGGACUGGAACGUCCUCGUGAACCUGGAAUGUCUAGUAGGCGUAGGUCAUCAAUCUACGCCGGAUACGUCCCUGCCCCUUGUACACACCGCCCGUCGCUCCUACCGACUGGGUCUUCUGGCGAGCUCCUGGGAGGGAUGAACCGAACAGGGACGAACCGCGAGGCUUGGAGGAAGGAGAAGUCGUAACAAGGUAUCCGUAGGUGAACCUGCGGAUGGAUCCAUC